This 547-nucleotide ribosomal RNA is filed under the name Bacteroides muris (ex Afrizal et al. 2022). RNAcentral's name for it is "bacterial SSU rRNA". It matches the Rfam family "Bacterial small subunit ribosomal RNA", at positions 1 to 533 of the family's 1533-position model. The record is from RNAcentral. Lineage: Bacteria; Pseudomonadati; Bacteroidota; Bacteroidia; Bacteroidales; Bacteroidaceae.
CUUUUACAAUGAAGAGUUUGAUCCUGGCUCAGGAUGAACGCUAGCUACAGGCUUAACACAUGCAAGUCGAGGGGCAGCAUGAACUUAGCUUGCUAAGUUUGAUGGCGACCGGCGCACGGGUGAGUAACACGUAUCCAACCUGCCGAUGACUCGGGGAUAGCCUUUCGAAAGAAAGAUUAAUACCCGAUGGCAUAGUUCUUCCGCAUGGUAGAACUAUUAAAGAAUUUCGGUCAUCGAUGGGGAUGCGUUCCAUUAGCUUGUUGGCGGGGUAACGGCCCACCAAGGCAUCGAUGGAUAGGGGUUCUGAGAGGAAGGUCCCCCACAUUGGAACUGAGACACGGUCCAAACUCCUACGGGAGGCAGCAGUGAGGAAUAUUGGUCAAUGGGCGCUAGCCUGAACCAGCCAAGUAGCGUGAAGGAUGACUGCCCUAUGGGUUGUAAACUUCUUUUAUAUGGGAAUAAAGUGCAGUAUGUAUACUGCUUUGCAUGUACCUUAUGAAUAAGGAUCGGCUAACUCCGUGCCAGCAGCCGCGGUAAUACGGAGGAU